RNAcentral lists this ribosomal RNA (200 nucleotides) under uncultured bacterium. RNAcentral describes it as "partial 16S ribosomal RNA". It matches the Rfam family "Bacterial small subunit ribosomal RNA", at positions 1300 to 1500 of the family's 1533-position model. The record is from RNAcentral.
GCAGGCUGCAACCCGCCUGCAUGAAGUCGGAAUUGCUAGUAAUCGCGGAUCAGCAUGCCGCGGUGAAUACGUUCCCGGGCCUUGUACACACCGCCCGUCACACCAUGGGAGCCGGUAAUACCCGAAGUCAGUAGUCCAACCACGUGAGGACGCUGCCGAAGGUAGGAUUGGCGACUGGGGUGAAGUCGUAACAAGGUAAC